RNAcentral lists this transfer RNA (77 nucleotides) under compost metagenome. RNAcentral describes it as "tRNA-Pro". It matches the Rfam family "tRNA". Rfam says of the family: Transfer RNA (tRNA) molecules are approximately 80 nucleotides in length. Their secondary structure includes four short double-helical elements and three loops (D, anti-codon, and T loops). The record is from RNAcentral.
CGGGGUGUAGCUCAGCCUGGUAGAGUGCUUGCUUUGGGAGCAAGAUGUCGCAGGUUCGAAUCCUGUCACCCCGACCA